RNAcentral lists this transfer RNA (74 nucleotides) under Deltaproteobacteria bacterium. Its description in RNAcentral is "tRNA-Arg". It matches the Rfam family "tRNA". Rfam says of the family: Transfer RNA (tRNA) molecules are approximately 80 nucleotides in length. Their secondary structure includes four short double-helical elements and three loops (D, anti-codon, and T loops). The record is from RNAcentral. Lineage: Bacteria; Pseudomonadati; Myxococcota; Myxococcia.
GCGCCAGUAGCUCAGGUGGAUAGAGCAACGGCCUUCUAAGCCGUAGGUCUCCGGUUCGAAUCCGGACUGGCGCG